GAUGAAGAACGCAGCGAAAUGCGAUAAGUAGUGUGAAUUGCAGAAUUCCGUGAAUCAUCAAAUCUUUGAACGCACAUUGCGCCCCCUGGUAUUCCGGGGGGCAUGCCUGUUCGAGCGUCAUUUCACCACUCAAGCCUCGCUUGGUAUUGGGCAACGCGGUCCGCCGCGUGCCUCAAAUCGACCGGCUGGGUCUUCUGUCCCCUAAGCGUUGUGGAAACUAUUCGCUAAAGGGUGUUCGGGAGGCUACGCCGUAAAACAACCCCAUUUCUAAGGUUGACCUCGGAUCAGGUAGGGAUACCCGCUGAACUUAAGCAUAUCAAUAAGCGGAGGA
RNAcentral lists this unclassified non-coding RNA (331 nucleotides) under soil metagenome. RNAcentral's name for it is "partial contains 5.8S ribosomal RNA, internal transcribed spacer 2, and large subunit ribosomal RNA". The stretch from base 1 to 120 matches the Rfam family "5.8S ribosomal RNA", at positions 35 to 154 of the family's 154-position model. The record is from RNAcentral.